UGUUGUCAGAAACCCUCUCUUCAUGAGGAAUCUGUAGUCAGAAACCUCUCUUCAUGACUGUUCAUCCCUCCUUUAUCCUCCUUCUUCCCUGCCUAUGUGACAUCCCUGGGUGCUUGGACAAAGGAUUUCCCAAUCCCUGGUCAGGACUUGCUUGGACUUGUUCAUCUGUGUCCCUCAGCAAGCUUUGAGACAGUGAUGCAAAAGAAUAAUCUUUUACAAGGGCGAAUUACUGACUUCAGACCUUAGCGAAAUGUAAUUUGCUGCAGAGAGGAUGUAGAAGAUGAGACAAUCUUGGCUUUAAAAUAUAACAGCUUUGUAUAUAUUUUCUAAACCACCUGGAGGAUUCCAUCGCAGUCAUGCACUAGAGACUAAUGCAGACAAACACUGUAGAAUGUCUUAAAUUCAUUACAUUAAAAAAUGACCAUUUUAAUCUAACCCUGAAGAUCUCACCUCAAGUUGUGGAUGUGGAUAUUGAAUUUGUAAGGGAAGAAAAACAUUACAAAAACAGUAAAUAAUAUUCCUUUUAUAAUUUAAGACUUGGUUUACUGAAGAUUUAACACAGCAUCUGUAAUGUAUUUUCAUUUUACUAUACAAGAACUGCAACAAAAUUUUCAAUAAAUCCCAAAGUUUUUAUGGGCAUACAUUAUUUUUACAAAACUGUACUUUUAAUAUAGGAUAUCUUUUUUUCUCUACUCUCUCUCUCUUUUUCUUUUCCUGAGGACCAUGUACAGUUACACAUCUUAAGUACUUUUGCAGUGCUUAAAAAUGAGACUGCGUAUUCAGAUAAUAAUUACCACUUGAAUACUUUAAAGGCUAUUAAUUAGAAGCAGUUCUGUGCAGCAAAGUUAGACUUUAUUGACUUGUGUCCAGUGUACAACACUGGGUAAAUAUUUCUGUGCAUAAAGUUAACAAAGACAGCUGUCUCAGUCUGAAAGAAAUACAUUACUCUUCUGUUAUCAUAGGAAAAACAUCCCUCCAUACUCUGCUUAAAAGUUUAAGAUUUCACAUUUUUUUUGAAAGAUCUGUAUGGGAGAUGGAGAGGUCAGCUCGGCCUGGUCGAAUGUCGACUUGCUGAUAAUGAGGCUCUGAAAAGGAGACAAAAGGUCUGAAUAAACAGAGGUGUUUUGUACCUAGGCAUAAGAUAAAUUCUCUGCUGAUUAUGAAGACUUGUUAUGGAAUUUGCUUGCUUUCUAGCCAGUGGAUUGUUAGUGGAAAUGUACUGAAUAGCGUGUUAGAAUAUAAAAGGCUUACUUUAGAAUGUAGACACAGAGAGACAUACAUCAUGAUCAUGGUCAUUAUGACAAUAAAGAAAUCUUCCUG
Gallus gallus (chicken) is the source of this 1320-nucleotide long non-coding RNA. The record is from Ensembl. Lineage: Eukaryota; Metazoa; Chordata; Aves; Galliformes; Phasianidae.